GGAGGUAGUGACAAUAAAUCACAAUACGGAACUAUUAGUUUUGCAAUUGGAUUGAGAACAAUGUACAAAUGUUAUCGAUAAACAAUUGGAGGGCAAGUCUGGUGCCAGCAGCCGCGGUAAUUCCAGCUCCAAUAGCGUAUAUUAACGUUGUUGCAGUUAAAAAGCUCGUAGUUGAAUUGAAGUGAACUUGGGUUGAUGUGAUCUUCGGAUGACAUGAAUCAAAGUUGACUCUUUCCAAAGUCAAUACAUUGGUAUUCAUUUAUCUUUGUAUUGUGUUUGGUCAUUUACUGUGAGAAAAUUAGAGUGUUCAAAGCAGACGUUUGUUUGAAUACAUUAGCAUGGAAUAAUCAUAUAUGGCUUUCAUGUUGAUUUGAUUGGUUUGAAUAUGGAAGCAAGAUUAAAAGGGACAGUUGGGGGUAUUCAUAUUCAAUAGUCAGAGGUGAAAUUCUGGGAUUUAUGGAAGAUGAACAAGUGCGAAAGCA
RNAcentral lists this ribosomal RNA (482 nucleotides) under Blastocystis sp. Its description in RNAcentral is "SSU rRNA". It matches the Rfam family "Eukaryotic small subunit ribosomal RNA", at positions 460 to 953 of the family's 1831-position model. The record is from RNAcentral. Lineage: Eukaryota; Bigyra; Opalinata; Blastocystidae.